CAAGUACCGUGAGGGAAAGUUGAAAAGCACUCUGAAUAGAGAGUUAAAUAGUACGUGAAACCGCUUAGGGGUUAAGCCUGAUGAACCCGAAUAUUUGAAAUGAGAAAUUCAUUAUCAUUUAGUAGUUUCAUUUGAAGCGAACAAUGAUAUGCACUUUUCUCAGUGUAAAACAUUGCAAUCUAUUUGUAUAUCCGUAUGGAUGGUUUAUCAAAUGGCCCGUAUGGUUUGUUCAUUCCUAUCAGUAACAUUUUAUGUUAUAUGGUUGAUGCCAUAGCGGUGACCUGGUAAACAGCAGAUAGUUUUUAAAAAUCAUGCAACCACAUUUUAUGUGUAUCACGGUUUAUGUGCUGUUUUCAGUGCGUGAAUGCAGUGAUAGCAUGCAUUUGAUUGGCAAUGCGAUAGGUUUGGGAACCUUCAGGACCCGUCUUGAAACACGGACCAAGAAGUCUAACAUGUGUGCGAGUCAUUGGGUAUAUUGUUGAAACCUAAGGGCGCAAUUAAAAUAACUAUUUUAUGGGAUUACAAGUGAAUUAAAUUUCAUUUCUUCAUCCCGGGGCGUUCUAUACGAACAUGGUGCAAGCAAUUGAAUCCUCUGUUCAAGAGCGUACCUUGAGCAUACAUGCUGUGACCCGAAAGAUGGUGAACUAUACCUGAUCAGAUCGAAGCCAGGAGAAAUUCUGGUGGAGGAUCGAAACAGUUCUGACGUGCAAAUCGAUUGUCAGAAUUGGGUAUAGGGGCGAAAGACCAAUCGAACCAUCUAGUAGCUGGUUCCCUCCGAAGUUUCCCUCAGGAUAGCUGGCGCAAGAAUUAUAUUGUAUAUAAUCUUAUCUGGUAA
RNAcentral lists this ribosomal RNA (835 nucleotides) under Pseudolycoriella orite. RNAcentral describes it as "partial 28S ribosomal RNA". It matches the Rfam family "Eukaryotic large subunit ribosomal RNA", at positions 345 to 1011 of the family's 3401-position model. Lineage: Eukaryota; Metazoa; Arthropoda; Insecta; Diptera; Sciaridae. The record is from RNAcentral.